AUGUUAGUAUUCCUGAGAGAAGGUUAGCAUUCCUUUUGAUAAGGAUGGAUGAGGUCCAAGCAAUUUUAAUAACAUAUACACAGUUAAGCAUUGCCACCUGCUCUGUAGCAUCUGACCAUGAAAGUCU
Molecule: small nuclear RNA, 127 nt
Organism: Sarcophilus harrisii (Tasmanian devil)
Lineage: Eukaryota; Metazoa; Chordata; Mammalia; Dasyuromorphia; Dasyuridae
Source: Ensembl